RNAcentral lists this small RNA (28 nucleotides) under Bombyx mori (domestic silkworm). Its description in RNAcentral is "ovarian small RNA-24501". Lineage: Eukaryota; Metazoa; Arthropoda; Insecta; Lepidoptera; Bombycidae. The record is from RNAcentral.
UCAAAUGGAUAACAAUGUAUUUUUUAGU